RNAcentral lists this ribosomal RNA (430 nucleotides) under uncultured soil bacterium. RNAcentral describes it as "bacterial SSU rRNA". It matches the Rfam family "Bacterial small subunit ribosomal RNA", at positions 155 to 624 of the family's 1533-position model. The record is from RNAcentral.
AACCGGGAUUAAAACCUCAUAAUGCGAACACAUGCAAAGAUUCGGUAUGGGAUGGGCCUGCGUCUGAUUAGCUAGUUGGUGGGGUAACGGCCUACCAAGGCAACGAUCAGUAGCCGAGGGGAGAGGGUAAUCGGCCACAUUGGAACUGAGACACGGUCCAAACUCCUACGGGAGGCAAGAGUGGGGAAUAUUGCACAAUGGGCGAAAGCCUGAUGCAGCAACGCCGCGUGAGCGAUGAAGGCCUUUGGGUCGUAAAGCUCUGUCCUUGGGGAAGACUGACGGUACCCAUGGAGGAAGCCCCGGCUAACUACGUGCCAGCAGCCGCGGUAAUACGUACGGGGCAAGCGUUAUCCGGAAUUAUUGGGCGUAAAGAGUGAAUACGUGGUUUUGUAAGCGCGGGGUGAAAGGCUAUGGAUCAACCAUAGUAAGC